GGGAUAGCCCAGGGAAACCUGGAUUAAUACCGGAUGAGACGGGACCCGCGGAUGGCGGGAUCCGGGAAAGGCGCUGCGGCGCCGCCGGGGGGAUGAGUCUGCGUCCCAUUAGGCUAGACGGCGGGGUAACGGCCCACCGUGGCGACGAUGGGUAGCCGGCCUGAGAGGGUGGACGGCCACGAUUGGAACUGAGACACGGUCCAGACUCCUACGGGAGGCAGCAGCUAAGAAUCGUUCCGCAAUGGGCGAAAGCCUGACGGAGCGAACCGCCGCGUGAACGAAGAAGGCCGUGAGGUUUGUAAAGUUCUUUUCGGGAAGGGGGAACAACCGUGGCAGGGAAUGGCCGCGGGAUGACGUGAAUCCCGGAAUAAGCCCCGGCUAACUACGUGCCAGCCGCCGC
This 400-nucleotide ribosomal RNA is filed under the name uncultured bacterium. Its description in RNAcentral is "bacterial SSU rRNA". It matches the Rfam family "Bacterial small subunit ribosomal RNA", at positions 140 to 518 of the family's 1533-position model. The record is from RNAcentral.